GAAUCUAUGGCAUAAUAGUAGUAUAUUUGAUUCUAAACCAAAUGAUUGUCUAUUUGAUUUAAGUUAGGUUCA
RNAcentral lists this transfer RNA (72 nucleotides) under Physcomitrium patens. RNAcentral's name for it is "Physcomitrella patens tRNA". It matches the Rfam family "tRNA". Rfam says of the family: Transfer RNA (tRNA) molecules are approximately 80 nucleotides in length. Their secondary structure includes four short double-helical elements and three loops (D, anti-codon, and T loops). The record is from Rfam by way of RNAcentral. Lineage: Eukaryota; Viridiplantae; Streptophyta; Bryopsida; Funariales; Funariaceae.